UAGUCCACGCCGUAAACGAUGUCUACUAGCCGUUGGAAGACUUGAUCUUUUAGUGGCGCAGUUAACGCAAUAAGUAGACCGCCUGGGGAGUACGGCCGCAAGGUUAAAACUCAAAUGAAUUGACGGGGCCCGCACAAGCGGUGGAGCAUGUGGUUUAAUUCGACGCAACGCGAAGAACCUUACCAGGUCUUGACAUCCUCGGAACUUUCUAGAGAUAGAUUGGUGCCUUCGGGAACCGAGAGACAGGUGCUGCAUGGCUGUCGUCAGCUCGUGUCGUGAGAUGUUGGGUUAAGUCCCGUAACGAGCGCAACCCUUGUCCUUAGUUGCCAUCAGGUUAUGCUGGGAACUCUAAGGAGACUGCCGGUGACAAACCGGGAGGAAGGUGGGGACGACGUCAAGUCAUCAUGGCCCUUACGACCUGGGGCUACACACGUGCUACAAUGGGCCAGUACAGAGGGGCUGCAAUCCCGCGAGGGGGAGC
RNAcentral lists this ribosomal RNA (481 nucleotides) under uncultured bacterium. RNAcentral describes it as "bacterial SSU rRNA". It matches the Rfam family "Bacterial small subunit ribosomal RNA", at positions 791 to 1268 of the family's 1533-position model. The record is from RNAcentral.